AAAUAAUUCAUUAAACAAAAUUAUUCACCAGAGAACUACUAGCAACAGCUUAAAACUCAAAGGACUUGGCGGUGCUUUAAACCCUCCUAGAGGAGCCUGUUCUAUAAUCGAUAAACCCCGAUAGACCUCACCACCUCUUGCUAAUUCAGUCUAUAUACCGCCAUCUUCAGCAAACCCUUAAAAGGAACAAGAGUAAGCACAAUCAUCUUGCAUAAAAAAGUUAGGUCAAGGUGUAACCCAUGGGGUGGGAAGAAAUGGGCUACAUUUUCUAUUCAAGAACAACUUACGAAAGUUUUUAUGAAACUAAAAACUAAAGGUGGAUUUAGUAGUAAAUCAAGAAUAGAGAG
Molecule: ribosomal RNA, 347 nt
Filed under: Ursus arctos (brown bear)
Lineage: Eukaryota; Metazoa; Chordata; Mammalia; Carnivora; Ursidae
Description: partial 12S ribosomal RNA
Rfam family: Bacterial small subunit ribosomal RNA
Source: RNAcentral